Molecule: long non-coding RNA, 1919 nt
Organism: Heterocephalus glaber (naked mole-rat)
Lineage: Eukaryota; Metazoa; Chordata; Mammalia; Rodentia; Bathyergidae
Source: Ensembl
CUGGCCCCCGCCCGUCUCCUCGGAGCUGGCCCGAGGGCGGGGCGCGCAAACCCCUUGAGCGCGUCGUCCUGCACCGUCCUGGCCCAGGACUUUAGCUGCCGGAUCGCUCCGGAGCCGAGGACCUCCCCGCGCCCCCCGCCGUCUGGGCCUCCAGGGCCGCCAAGCGAGGGUUCACAGCUGCCCGCACAUCCCGGGUCUCCCCCGCCCCAUUCUAGCCGCCCAGUUUGCCCCCUUCGGGCGAAAGUGAGGAUAAGCUGACGCUUUCCCUCAACUUCUCUGGGAGAGAGAGCCGGAGCCCCACACACUGGCUUCAGUGUCCCAGAACACUCAGCAGGAGGAGAGAACGAUUUAAGAAACAAUUUGGUUCGAAAGGCCAUGGUGAAAAUCAGCCAUUUGUACAGCUGAGACGUGGUUGUGUUUAACCCAGAGGACCUCGCUUUCAGGGAAAAAAGAAAAAGAAGAAAAAAACCUGAUGCGGCCUUUCAGACAGCGCCAAUGAGAAGAAUGUGUGAUUGGAAGCCCCGAGAACCAGCACAGGUCUUUUAAAUAUUAGAGAGAGAGUGGCGUGGCCGGGAGGAUCCCUAGCCCACAGGAGUCCAACUGAGGAUCUUCGCGUGAAGCUCACCUCAGGUACCUAUGUCUGAAUCCCACCAGCAGUGCAAAGACCCUUCCUGGAGGGGAAAGCUCAAGUGGGACUUGCAAUUAAGUCAACAAAUUGUUUCCUUCAACAACCCUGAAUCACAGCUCACCCAGGGACUACCUCAUCAGAGUUCCCAAGCUCAGGAGAUUCCCCUCAUCUGCUGUCAGACUUGGUGGUUGGUCAUCUUUCCACUGAUCCUGCCCAUAUUGCUACAGGCAUGUGCUCCUUUUUCAAAGUGAUGGAAAAUACAAGAAACAACAGUUGCCACUGGGAUAGGAGCUUUCAGAACUUGGUUCUGAACACAUUUCAGUCAUUAAAAUGGCUGUAUGGCGUUGGGCAAGUUAUUUAAUCUCUCUAAUUCAAUAUCCUCAUAAAGAAAGUGAAGAAGAUAUUAGUGAUAUCCAGUGAGCCAGUGGAUCUGAACACACUGAAAAGUGUACAAGCUGAUUUUGUCAUCUCUAUUUCACUUUGUCAAACAAGAAACAUCUCAAGUGAAGGAAACUGCUACCUGAAAAUAAGGAGGUCCAGGGCAGAGGUGGAAGCCUCUGGUCCUUUUUCCCUGUUGCUGAGAGUGGCCUUGGAAACCCUCAGUAAUACUCUGUACACCCAGGGAGGCCGUACACCCAGGGAGGCCAGAAGAGGUCGACAGAAAUAGUUUCCAUCAAAAAAAAAAAAAAAAAAAAAGAAAGAAAGAAAUAGUUUCCAUCUCAAUAUCCUGUGUUUUCCUUUCUCAGAAACCAGAGCAGCUCCACAGCCCAGGCCUGGAGGGGAAGCCAGAGGGAGUUUAUGCAGCAGGAGCCCUGGGCCGGCCCCGCCCGGCUGCCUGCCUGACUGAGGGCUGCCUCUGCAGUUGAGUCGUCCCCAUCCCCUGGGGGACUGUUUUCUCUAAUAAUCCUUUAAUAUUAGGAAAUAUCUGUCAGUGUUUACAAUUUCCUGAAUGUCUUCAAUUUGCUCCCUUUUUUGUGAUGUUUGUUUGAAUGAAGAAUCUAAAGAUCUGUACAUUGUCAUUGAUAGAUAUAUCUCUGAAAUCCUUUGUAGUUUAGUUUACCCUCUAAGUAAAUCCUCUCUCCACUUUUUUAAUGAAAAAAAAAGUGUCCUUUUUAAUGAAAGCAAAGUAAGGUUGUUUAUGCUGCAGUUUCCCAAACCUGAAUUUUUAAAAUUAAAACACAGUAAAGUCCUUGAAGAACCCUCUCUUCCUUGUGUAGCCUGUAAACUGGCAAUUACAUCCAGAGGCCAGAUUCAGAUUUGAUUAUAAUUAAUAUCUCUCUCUCUCUCUCUC